This 460-nucleotide ribosomal RNA is filed under the name uncultured bacterium. RNAcentral describes it as "partial 16S ribosomal RNA". It matches the Rfam family "Bacterial small subunit ribosomal RNA", at positions 338 to 795 of the family's 1533-position model. The record is from RNAcentral.
CCUACGGGAGGCAGCAGUGAGGAAUAUUGGUCAAUGGACGAGAGUCUGAACCAGCCAAGUAGCGUGAAGGAUGACUGCCCUAUGGGUUGUAAACUUCUUUUAUAUGGGAAUAAAAUGUUCCACGUGUGGGAUUUUGUAUGUACCAUAUGAAUAAGGCUCGGCUAAAUCCGUGCCAGCCGCCGCGGUUAUUCGGAGGAUCCGAGCGUUUACCGGAUUUUUUUGGUUUAAAGGGAGCGUAGGUGGAUUUUUAAGUCAGUUGUGAAAGUUUGCGGCUCAACCGUAAAAUUGCAGUUGAAACUGGCAGUCUUGAGUGCGUGAGAGGUGGGCGGAAUGCGUGGUGUAGCGGUGAAAUGCUUAGAUAUCACGAAGAACUCUGAUUGCGAAGGCAGCUCACUGGACUGCAACUGACACUGAGGCUCGAAAGUGUGGGUAUCGAACAGGAUUAGAUACCCUUGUAGUC